Salvelinus fontinalis (brook trout) is the source of this 240-nucleotide long non-coding RNA. RefSeq lists it as uncharacterized. The transcript has 3 exons. The record is from RefSeq and is a predicted model, not a curated record. Lineage: Eukaryota; Metazoa; Chordata; Actinopteri; Salmoniformes; Salmonidae.
CCUGUCUUCCUGGCACGCUGCCACUAGGUACAGCCUGUCUUCCUGGCACGCUGCCACUACGUACAGCCUGUCUUCCUGGUACGCUGCCACUACGUACAGCCUGUCUUCCUGGCACAACACCCCACUACGUACAGCCUGUCUUCCUGGUACGCUGCCACUACGUACAGCCUGUCUUCCCGGUACGCUGCCACUACGUACAGCCUGUCUUCCCGGCACGCUGCCACUACGUACAGCCUGUCU